GAUGAACGCUGGCGGCGUGCCUAAUACAUGCAAGUCGAGCGAACAGACGAGGAGCUUGCUCCUCUGACGUUAGCGGCGGACGGGUGAGUAACACGUGGAUACCUACCUAUAAGACUGGGAUAACUUCGGGAAACCGGAGCUAAUACCGGAUAAUAUAUUGAACCGCAUGGUUCAAUAGUGAAAGACGGUUUUGCUGUCACUUAUAGAUGGAUCCGCGCCGCAUUAGCUAGUUGGUAAGGUAACGGCUUACCAAGGCAACGAUGCGUAGCCGACCUGAGAGGGUGAUCGGCCACACUGGAACUGAGACACGGUCCAGACUCCUACGGGAGGCAGCAGUAGGGAAUCUUCCGCAAUGGGCGAAAGCCUGACGGAGCAACGCCGCGUGAGUGAUGAAGGUCUUCGGAUCGUAAAACUCUGUUAUUAGGGAAGAACAAAUGUGUAAGUAACUAUGCACGUCUCGACGGUACCUAAUCAGAAAGCCACGGCUAACUACGUG
RNAcentral lists this ribosomal RNA (496 nucleotides) under uncultured bacterium. RNAcentral's name for it is "partial 16S ribosomal RNA". It matches the Rfam family "Bacterial small subunit ribosomal RNA", at positions 28 to 507 of the family's 1533-position model. The record is from RNAcentral.